GUGGGAGUGCUCCGAUAAAAAUAUAUAACAGCGGGAAUACCUGUACAGAACAAAACAUUGGUUUCUUUCCCCCUGACUUAUAUUCCCUAUCAAAAAAUGUUCGUUGUUAAAAUAAAGUACUGCAAAGAACUUCUGAAGGAUUUGCCUUCAACUGCAAUUAUAUUGUAUGCUGAAGGUCAUAACCGCUGCAGGUUUGUGCCUGUCCUGAUUGAUUCAGGGACCUGUUGUUCAGCAGUUAUCGUUUGUUGUUGGGUACUUUCCCGUUUGGAAAUAUAAAUUAGAUCGUUGGUUUUCCUGUUCGAAUUGUGUACAAUACUAAGUUGUGGUCCCUUAUAGCUUGUUGUUUGGUCUGGAUCAAAGCUCUGUGUAAAAGGACGUACUUUGACCUAUGUUUGUUAUUAUCAGGUUAUCCCUCAGACAAGGGCCUUGAAGGGGCAUUUUACCAUGUUUACUGUUGUAGAAAAGAAAAUAGAAAUACUAAGGAUUUGUAUAGUGCUACUAUACAAAACCUUUGAAAACUUAGAAUUUUUUAC
This 533-nucleotide long non-coding RNA is filed under the name Mytilus galloprovincialis (Mediterranean mussel). Lineage: Eukaryota; Metazoa; Mollusca; Bivalvia; Mytilida; Mytilidae. The record is from RNAcentral.